GUCUACAGGCAUGCUACCCUGAACAAGCUCUAUCUCAUCUGAUAUCAGAAGAUAAGCAGGGUUGGGCCUGGUUAGUACUUGGAUGGGAGACCACCUAGGAAGACGAGGUGCUUGCUAUAGGCU
This 123-nucleotide ribosomal RNA is filed under the name Pteropus alecto (black flying fox). Lineage: Eukaryota; Metazoa; Chordata; Mammalia; Chiroptera; Pteropodidae. The record is from RNAcentral.